This 759-nucleotide long non-coding RNA is filed under the name Gallus gallus (chicken). Its description in RNAcentral is "lncRNA (ENSGALG00010025124.1)". The record is from RNAcentral. Lineage: Eukaryota; Metazoa; Chordata; Aves; Galliformes; Phasianidae.
GCCAUUUGCUACAAGGCUUGGAUUACCCACCGCUAUCUCUCCUUGGAGCUGUAUCUUCAUCACGGCCAUUUCUUCCAUCACAGAGCUCCCAUGGGACAUCUCUCAGGAAAACAAGAAGACAGGAGAGCAUGACAGCUGAGCAGAACUCAUCACGGAGAGCAGUUAAGAGUGGCUUGGUGAUUCAAGACGUGCCAUUUUAAGAAGUCAGGCUUCCAGAUCACUGCCUGGAAGACUGGUCUGGGUAGGUGUGAGAUGGUUAAAAGUGGGACUAAUCAGAUUUUCACUUCCAGAGGUUUCAGCCAGACGUGGGGCAUUGUUUGUGUAUUUCUUGUGCGUGUCUGGUGGCUCCAAGCUGCUGCAUUGAGACAUCAGAUCUCCCUAGGUGACAAUUUAGAGGGGUGUCAAAGGAGACCAGAGGGGUGGAAACAGCUUUGUGUGAGGAAAGUUAAAUAACCUGGUGCUUAUCAGCAUAGGAGAGGGAUGACAGAUGGGAGCUGUGGCAGAGGUCUAUAAAAACCUGAGCAGCAGGGAAGGGCAAGCAAGGAGCAAUUAUUCUUCCUUACAAUGUGAGAAACAGAAGACAUCAGGUGAAAGAAGUCUUAAAACAAAGGCAGGACUUGUUUGCACCACACAUAAUUCAGCUCUCGAGUCAGAGGUGCAGAUCCAAGGUAGAACUGGACAAACGUGGAUGCUGAGAAGGAGACAAAAGCUUAAAUGUCAUUAGAAUGUUUUGAGCUCAGCCCUUUUCCCCGAGCACAC